This is a non-coding RNA of Phrynosoma platyrhinos (Desert horned lizard), 71 nucleotides long. The record is from the annotation of a GenBank genome assembly. Lineage: Eukaryota; Metazoa; Chordata; Lepidosauria; Squamata; Phrynosomatidae.
GCCAGCGUGGUGUAAUGGUUUGGGUGUUGGACUACAUCUCUGGAGACCAGGGUUCAAAUCCCAGCUUUGCA